Molecule: ribosomal RNA, 463 nt
Filed under: uncultured bacterium
Lineage: Bacteria
Description: partial 16S ribosomal RNA
Rfam family: Bacterial small subunit ribosomal RNA
Source: RNAcentral
CUACGGGGGGCUCCAGUGAGGAAUUUUGCGCAAUGGGGGAAACCCUGACGCAGCAACGCCGCGUGAGCGAAGAAGGCCCUCGGGUCGUAAAGCUCUGUCAAGUGGGAAAAAAAUCUUUUGAUCAAUAGUCAAAAGACUUGAUGGUACCACUGGAGGAAGCACCGGCUAACUCCGUGCCAGCAGCCGCGGUAAUACGGAGGGUGCAAGCGUUGUUCGGAUUUACUGGGCGUAAAGAGCGUGUAGGCGGUUUAGCAAGUCAGAUGUGAAAGCCCUGGGCUCAACCCGGGAAGUGCAUUUGAACUGCUUCACUAGAGUAUGGGAGAGGAGAUUGGAAUUCCUGGUGUAGAGGUGAAAUUCGUAGAUAUCAGGAGGAACACCCGUGGCGAAGGCGAUUCUCUGGAACAAUACUGACGCUGAGACGCGAAAGCGUGGGGAGCAAACAGGAUUAGAUACCCUCGUAGUC